This 253-nucleotide ribosomal RNA is filed under the name uncultured bacterium. RNAcentral's name for it is "partial 16S ribosomal RNA". It matches the Rfam family "Bacterial small subunit ribosomal RNA", at positions 524 to 776 of the family's 1533-position model. The record is from RNAcentral.
UACGAAGGGGGCUAGCGUUGUUCGGAAUUACUGGGCGUAAAGCGCACGUAGGCGGAUAUUUAAGUCAGGGGUGAAAUCCCGGGGCUCAACCCCGGAACUGCCUUUGAUACCGGAUAUCUUGAGUUCGGAAGAGGUAAGUGGAAUUGCGAGUGUAGAGGUGAAAUUCGUAGAUAUUCGCAGGAACACCAGUGGCGAAGGCGGCUUACUGGUCCGAUACUGACGCUGAGGUGCGAAAGCGUGGGGAGCAAACAGG